GUUGCAUGGCUGUCGGUUCAGCUCGUGUCGUGAGAUGUUCGGUUAAGUCCGCUAACGAGCGCAACCCUCGCUGUGUGUUACAAGUGUCACACGGAACUGCCGGUCAUAAACCGGAGGAAGGUGGGGAUGACGUCAAGUCAGCAUGGCCUUUAUAUCCUGGGCUACACACACGCUACAAUGGGAAGGGACAAUAGGUUGCGAAGCCGCGAGGCGGAGCCAAUCCAGCAAAACUUCCCUCAGUUCAGAUUGCAGGCUGCAACUCGCCUGCAUGAAGUUGGAGUUGCUAGUAAACGCAGGUCAGCCAUACUGCGUUGAAUACGUUCCCGGGGCUU
Molecule: ribosomal RNA, 332 nt
Filed under: uncultured Anaerolineaceae bacterium
Lineage: Bacteria; Bacillati; Chloroflexota; Anaerolineae; Anaerolineales; Anaerolineaceae
Description: bacterial SSU rRNA
Rfam family: Bacterial small subunit ribosomal RNA
Source: RNAcentral